Molecule: non-coding RNA, 45 nt
Filed under: Schistosoma mattheei
Lineage: Eukaryota; Metazoa; Platyhelminthes; Trematoda; Strigeidida; Schistosomatidae
Source: RNAcentral
ACCCAGCUGACGAGUCCCAAGUUAGACGAAACGUGCGUCCUAGAU